RNAcentral lists this ribosomal RNA (262 nucleotides) under uncultured bacterium. RNAcentral describes it as "partial 16S ribosomal RNA". It matches the Rfam family "Bacterial small subunit ribosomal RNA", at positions 524 to 787 of the family's 1533-position model. The record is from RNAcentral.
UACGUAGGGGGGCAAGCGUUUGUCCGGAUUUAUUGGGCGUAAAGAGCGUGUAGGCGCCAGGGAGGUCCGUUGUGAAAACUCGAGGCUCAACCUCGAGACGCCGAUGGAAACCCCCUGGCUAGAGUCCGGAAGAGGAGAAUGGAAUUCCUGGUGUAGCGGUGAAAUGCGCAGAUAUCAGGAGGAACACCGGUGGCGAAGGCGGGUCUCUGGGCCGAUACUGACGCUGAGGAGCGAAAGCGUGGGGAGCGAACAGGAUCUAACC